Molecule: ribosomal RNA, 425 nt
Filed under: uncultured Acidobacterium sp.
Lineage: Bacteria; Pseudomonadati; Acidobacteriota; Terriglobia; Terriglobales; Acidobacteriaceae
Description: bacterial SSU rRNA
Rfam family: Bacterial small subunit ribosomal RNA
Source: RNAcentral
ACGCGAAGAACCUUACCCAGGCUUGAACAGCGAGUGACAAACUACGAAAGUGGUCUUCCGCAAGGACACUCGUAGAGGUGCUGCAUGGCUGUCGUCAGCUCGUGUCGUGAGAUGUUGGGUUAAGUCCCGCAACGAGCGCAACCCUUGUCUGCUGUUGCCAUCAGGUUAUGCUGGGCACUCUGCAGAGACUGCCGGUGAUAAACCGGAGGAAGGUGGGGAUGACGUCAAGUCAGCAUGGCCUUUAUGUCUGGGGCUACACACGUGCUACAAUGGCCGAUACAAACCGUCGCGAGCCCGCAAGGGGGAGCUAAUCGGAGAAAGUCGGUCUCAGUUCGGAUUGUCGGCUGCAACUCGCCGGCAUGAAGUUGGAAUCGCUAGUAAUCGCGGAUCAGCACGCCGCGGUGAAUACGUUCCCGGGCCUUGUA